Molecule: non-coding RNA, 219 nt
Organism: Vicia faba (fava bean)
Lineage: Eukaryota; Viridiplantae; Streptophyta; Magnoliopsida; Fabales; Fabaceae
Source: the annotation of a GenBank genome assembly
AUGUUCAGACUCCUUCUUCUUCAACGAAUCGCGCCGCUCUCCCGCUUCAGCCAUUGUGACCUCCGCCUCUCACACCGUUAUGAUUCGGUUUCUCCGUUCAUCUUCUAUCAGAACGAUCUCCCUCACGACGCUCCUCUCUGUCGCGACUCCCUUCGUUUCAACCUUACUCCGAUUCGACUUCAUUUCGUCUUUGCCAUUCAAUCGCUCGUCCUCAAUUAA